AGCUAACUGACGAGUCCCAAAUAGGACGAAAUGCACAUCCUGGAU
Non-coding RNA from Trichobilharzia regenti, 45 nucleotides. The record is from Rfam. Lineage: Eukaryota; Metazoa; Platyhelminthes; Trematoda; Strigeidida; Schistosomatidae.